This 253-nucleotide ribosomal RNA is filed under the name uncultured bacterium. RNAcentral describes it as "partial 16S ribosomal RNA". It matches the Rfam family "Bacterial small subunit ribosomal RNA", at positions 524 to 776 of the family's 1533-position model. The record is from RNAcentral.
GACGGAGGAUGCAAGCGUUAUCCGGAAUCACUGGGUUUAAAGGGUGCGUAGGCGGACUUGUAAGUCAGUGGUGAAAUCUCUCAGCUUAACUGAGAAACUGCCAUUGAUACUGCAGGUCUAGAGUAUAGAUGACGUUGGCGGAAUAUGACAUGUAGUGGUGAAAUACUUAGAUAUGUCAUAGAACACCGAUUGCGAAGGCAGCUAACGAAACUAUAACUGACGCUGAGGCACGAAAGUGCGGGGAUCAAACAGG